AAUGUGGCUACAGUGACCGAGGAUACUAUUUGUGACGCUAUGGAAGGAGACGAUUGGACACAGCCCCAUCCGACUGCAGAGAUCCACACCAAUGGCAUGGUUGAACAAGGAGUGGACCAUACACAUACGAAGCCAAAGUUCAUUUCCAAUGGUGAUGAUGAUGAGGGUGUCAUAUUCGAAGAGGAUGAGGAUGAUGAUGAGAACGAUGGA
This is a long non-coding RNA of Zea mays, 210 nucleotides long. RefSeq lists it as uncharacterized. Lineage: Eukaryota; Viridiplantae; Streptophyta; Magnoliopsida; Poales; Poaceae. The record is from RefSeq and is a predicted model, not a curated record. The transcript has 3 exons.